RNAcentral lists this ribosomal RNA (377 nucleotides) under uncultured bacterium. Its description in RNAcentral is "bacterial SSU rRNA". It matches the Rfam family "Bacterial small subunit ribosomal RNA", at positions 521 to 896 of the family's 1533-position model. The record is from RNAcentral.
UAAUACGUAGGGGGCGAGCGUUGUCCGGAUUUACUGGGCGUAAAGCGCGUGUAGGCGGCGGCUUAAGUCGGGUGUGAAAGCCCGGGGCUCAACCCCGGGAUGCCGCUCGAGACUGGGUCGCUUGAGGACGGAAGAGGGGCGUGGAAUUCCUGGUGUAGCGGUGAAAUGCGUAGAGAUCAGGAGGAACACCCGUGGCGAAGGCGGCGCCCUGGUCCGUUACUGACGCUGAGACGCGAAAGCGCGGGGAGCGAACGGGAUUAGAUACCCCGGUAGUCCGCGCCGUAAACGAUGGUCACUAGGUGUGCGCGGUAUCGACCCCGCGCGUGCCGCCGCUAACGCAGUAAGUGACCCGCCUGGGGAGUACGGCCGCAAGGUUG